Non-coding RNA from Rattus norvegicus (Norway rat), 649 nucleotides. NCBI's taxonomy places the organism in Eukaryota, Metazoa, Chordata, Mammalia, Rodentia, Muridae. The record is from RefSeq and is a predicted model, not a curated record.
AUAAAACCGACACAGAUCUGAAGUUUUAUUAAAACUCUCUGUGACAAAGCAGAAAGGCAUGAGCAUGUCCGUCUAUGCGUCUGCCGUCCAACAUUUAUGACAUCAUCACUUAAUUUUUUUUUUCUCCAAGUCACUUGGCGUAAGCAUGAGCACACUCAGCCUAAUGUGGUUCACAUCACUAGGUUUCACGUAGAGCAAGGACUUCCUGUGGAUGACAACGGCAUAACAACCUAUACUUCAAGAUGUGGGGACCAAGAGAGUUUGUGUGUUGCAGAGGCAAAAUCUUCGGUUUCAAGGUUUCCUUUGGUGGUGAUGGUGGCAGGGCAACCGGAGCGGAGCACACGUGUGUCAAUCAGAGCAGCGCUAUAGUUCUUCAAGGUCCUGGAGGCUAAUGAAGGCCUGAGAAAUUUGUGUGUGAAGAUGGUUCCAGUUCCAAGUCAUUUUCCUACUGCUUGGGUGGCCUGCUGAUUUCUCUGCGGCCUCCUUUGAAACUUCUCAAGAAGUGUUGCAAAUCAAGUAUGGGGUUAAUUACUCUGGCAAGAAGAGGCUUGGAAGUUGGGAGUCAAAAGGAAGGAAGGGGCAGAAGAAACAAAUAUGGAUUAUAAUAAGGAAAUAAAAAUAAAGAUUCAUGUUUCGAGCAAGCUAUAAA